GACGAACGCUGGCGGCGUGCUUAACACAUGCAAGUCGAACGGAAAGGCCCUGCUUUUGUGGGGUGCUCGAGUGGCGAACGGGUGAGUAACACGUGAGUAACCUGCCCUUGACUUUGGGAUAACUUCAGGAAACUGGGGCUAAUACCGGAUAGGAGCUCCUGCUGCAUAGUGGGGGUUGGAAAGUUUCGGCGGUUGGGGAUGGACUCGCGGCUUAUCAGCUUGUUGGUGGGGUAGUGGCUUACCAAGGCUUUGACGGGUAGCCGGCCUGAGAGGGUGACCGGCCACAUUGGGACUGAGAUACGGCCCAGACUCCUACGGGAGGCAGCAGUGGGGAAUAUUGCACAAUGGGCGGAAGCCUGAUGCAGCAACGCCGCGUGCGGGAUGACGGCCUUCGGGUUGUAAACCGCUUUCGCCUGUGACGAAGCGUGGGUGACGGUAAUGGGUAAAGAAGCACCGGCUAACUACGUG
This 468-nucleotide ribosomal RNA is filed under the name uncultured bacterium. RNAcentral's name for it is "partial 16S ribosomal RNA". It matches the Rfam family "Bacterial small subunit ribosomal RNA", at positions 28 to 507 of the family's 1533-position model. The record is from RNAcentral.